RNAcentral lists this ribosomal RNA (2387 nucleotides) under Triticum aestivum (bread wheat). RNAcentral describes it as "partial small subunit ribosomal RNA". The record is from RNAcentral. Lineage: Eukaryota; Viridiplantae; Streptophyta; Magnoliopsida; Poales; Poaceae.
CUGAUCACUAGCUAGCCUAACUCCCUCUAGCCUCUCCUAGCUGCAGCCAUGGCUCAUGCAAGAAGCAUCCUCAUACCCACGUACUACCUGAUCAGCUGCUACAUCUUAUUUCUAGCCGCCUACGCGACUCCUCGCGCCGCCGCGCUGUCCUUCGACUACGACUUCACUGUCCCGAUCCCGAGGGACCGCAAGCAGCUCAAAUUCAUCAACGCCUCCUACGCCGGCCGCGACCGGAUCAUCCUCACCGACGACAGCUCCAACCUCACCGGCCGCGUCGUGCACCGAAAGCCGGUGCGCCUGUGGGACAGCCGCACAGGCAGGAGGGCCAGCUUCACCACCAGCUUCCGCUUCGCCAUCGUCCAAGACAGCAACAGGACGGAUAACCUUUCACGGGGCGACGGCAUGGCGUUCUUCCUCGGGCCCUUCCCGGCGACGACCCCUCCGCCUGGCUCCGACGGCGGCCUCCUCGGCCUCUUCAGCAACCCCAACAGCACGGGCGCCGCCGACUCCCGACGCCCGCCGCACACCCUCGCCGUCGAGUUCGACACCCGCUGGAACCACGGCUGGGACCCCUCCAACGGGGCUGGCGCCGACCACAUCGGCGUCGACGUCAACGGCAUCAGGUCCAACCGGACCAGAAGCCUGCCGCCGUUGAGCCUCCAUGGCAUCAUGUGGGCGAGCGUCACGUACGAUGCCGAGUCCAAGGUGAUGAAGGUGGCGCUUCGGAAAACCGAGCUGGCGUCCGAGUCGAGCACUACGUACGAGUUCAACGCCACCAUGGAUCUCAGGGACGACGCUGGCCUUGUACAGGACGCCGCCGUCGGUUUCUCCGCGGCCACCGGUGUCCUCUGCGAGUCGCACCAGCUGCUCGCUUGGUCCUUCCACUCAACAGAUCCAUCUCACAUGGAGACAAAAAUGUGGGUGAUAUUCCUAUCUGUCACAGCAGUUUUGUUAGCCGGUUUACUAGUGGCUCUUUUCCCUCUUCUCUAUACUACAUUUAUGAAAAAGCCAAGACGGUGCCUCGACGGAAAUUGUUUGCAAGGUAAAUAUAUCAUGGAUUUUAUUUAAUUAUUUAAUUAGAAAAGUCACUUCAUCAAUUCCCUUCUCUUAACUAACCAUGUUAUUCGAUCACGGAAAAAUCAAAGUUGCAAGAAAAUUCUCCUACUCUGAGCUAGUAGCGGCAACGGCCAACUUCUCGCAAGAUAGGAAGAUCGGCAAAGGUUCCUUCGGUGACGUGUACAGAGGGUUGCUACCUGUGCCGGACCUGCGGGAGGUGGCGGUGAAGGAAAUGCGGCAGCCAACAUUGAAGCGGAACCGGAAGAACUACGUGCAUGAGAUCGAGACCCUGUGUCAGCUGCGCCAUAAGAACCUCCUACGGCUCAUCGGCUGGUGCGACGAUGGUGGCCGGUUGGUGCUUGUCUACGAGCUCGAACCCAACGGUAGCGUCAGCGACCAUCUCCACGACGGCGGCACUAGCGGGAGAAUAUUGACAUGGCCGCAGAGGUACAAUAUCCUUCUUGGUAUUGCAGCCGCCAUUGACUACCUCCACAACGGUGCAUAUGACUCAACAAAGAGGUACGUGUUGCACCGGGACAUAAAGCCCAGUAACGUGAUGCUGGGAGAGGGCUUCGAGGCCAAGCUCGGCGACUUUGGACUGGUACGACAGGUCAUCCGCCAUGGCGGUGGGGGUACUCCUCGGACAACUGUUAUCGGGAGCAUGGACUACAUGGACCCCAAGUACAUCGAGCUCGGCACGCUGAGCUCCGCCUCUGAUAUAUACAGCUUUGGGUUGGUGCUGCUGGAGGUGGCCACUGGCGUGAGACCAUCCGUCCCGGGAACAGCAGCACACCGGAACACCCUCAUCGCGGCCGUCACGGAGUCUCACAGCAGAAAAACCAUCCUCGAGAUGGUAGAUGAGCGGCUGAGAGGGGAGUUGAAUCAGUGGUGGUGGCAGAUGGAGCGUGUCAUGGUCACCGGGCUGGCAUGUGUCGAGCCGGCGCGUGACGAGCGACCAUCUAUCAAAGAUGUCAUCGACCUGCUCUCCAAGCACGAGCAAUCUCCGGCAACUAGCCGUUACCUGAAAGAUACUUCAAUGAGGCCCAAGGAUCGAUUUCCUUUCAUACUAACUAGGAAUGUGGCUCUCGCAAAUGCAAGGGCAACAUCUUUACCAUAGUGAACAUGUCUGUGAAAUAAUAUGACUUCAUAGAUAUUAAAUAUGUGGAAUUUUAAAUCCUAUAGCUCUAUAGGCGUGUACAAGGUUAUGUUAAGUACAAUAUCUCUAGUGUGGUAAAUAUUUUCGAAUCACGUUAAUUUGUGGGCACAAUAGUGUUGUAACAUUCCCAAAAACACCAUGUCACUGUACUUUGAAACUUCGUCUAUUCUUAAAG